CCGUCGACUUAUUUCUAGCAAAUAAGAACAAUUGGCGUGGAACUGUAGUAGUAUUGGAAAGUAACGAGAAAAACUACAUGGUCAAGAUCAAUGACCUGAAAGCAAAGUAUGAAAAUGUUACCUUUGAGUAGUAGCAUUAGAGGGGGAAGUAAUAAAGUAAGUAGUGUUCUGCUAUGUGUAUGUCUAGUCUUUGUUUUUUCUUUCCUAAUAAUCGUG
This 216-nucleotide long non-coding RNA is filed under the name Nicotiana benthamiana. Its description in RNAcentral is "long non-coding RNA (NBEN_LNC008588)". The record is from RNAcentral. Lineage: Eukaryota; Viridiplantae; Streptophyta; Magnoliopsida; Solanales; Solanaceae.